AGACAGGUGGACAGAAAGACCACGGGU
RNAcentral lists this non-coding RNA (27 nucleotides) under Homo sapiens (human). The record is from RNAcentral. Lineage: Eukaryota; Metazoa; Chordata; Mammalia; Primates; Hominidae.